GACGAACGCUGGCGGCGUGCCUAAUACAUGCAAGUCGAACGCACAGUUGAUACCGUAGCUUGCUACACCAUAGACUGUGAGUUGCGAACGGGUGAGUAACGCGUAGGUAACCUGCCUUGUAGCGUGGGAUAACUAUUGGAUACGAUAGCUAAUACCGCAUAAUAUUAAUUAUUGCAUGGUAAUUGAUUGAAAGUUUCAAUUGCACCACUACCAUAUGGACCUGCGUUGUAUUAGCUAGUAGGUUAGGUUACGGCUCACCUAGCCGACGAUACAUAGCCGACCUGCGAGGGUGAUCGGACACACUGGGACUGAGAGACGGCCCAGACUCCCACGGGAGGGAGCCGGAGGGAAGCAUCGGCGAUGGACGAAAGUCUGACCGAGCAACGCCGCGUGAGUGAAGAAGGUUGUCGGAUCGUAAAGCUAUGUUGUAAGAGAAGAAAGGGUGUGAGAGUGGAAAGUUCACACUGUGACGGUAGCUGAACAGAAAGGGACGGCUAACUACGUG
This 505-nucleotide ribosomal RNA is filed under the name uncultured bacterium. RNAcentral describes it as "partial 16S ribosomal RNA". It matches the Rfam family "Bacterial small subunit ribosomal RNA", at positions 28 to 507 of the family's 1533-position model. The record is from RNAcentral.